This is a long non-coding RNA of Parasteatoda tepidariorum (common house spider), 493 nucleotides long. The record is from RefSeq and is a predicted model, not a curated record. Lineage: Eukaryota; Metazoa; Arthropoda; Arachnida; Araneae; Theridiidae.
CUUCACAGGUUGUAAGUUUACGAUUUCUCAGUUUCUUUAAAAGCUCAUCACGUACAGAUUUGGAUUUAACUUGAACGAUGAUGAUUUUAGGUUUAUCUUUAUUAAAGCUGGGGACUCUGUGAACGAUGAUCAGAUUUUCGGAUAUAUUAGCAUUCGCAACAUUAUCAAUCUGGAAUAUUACUUGUUGAAUGUCUUCAUUUUCACGUUCGGUUCUAAAGAAAAGUCAAGGAACAACAAAAGGACAAGGUCAACAUCCAGACGAGUUCUCUAGGAUGAAAAUAAAUUGCUUUGGCAGGGAAAUUAGGUUGAAUAUAAGAGACUCAGCGUUGACAGAAUAAUUGCAGAUAUUGAUGAAUCAGUUAUUACACCCUGUUAAGCCUUCUACUUUAUGAUUUUCGUUAUGAGUGAAUUAACAUUGUCUUUAUUUCACGUCUGCUGUGAUGGAUCGGUUGAUUUUUCUAAUUAGAAAAAUAAAAAUUAAAGUAGAAGUUAA